Molecule: long non-coding RNA, 1077 nt
Organism: Ornithodoros turicata
Lineage: Eukaryota; Metazoa; Arthropoda; Arachnida; Ixodida; Argasidae
Exons: 3
Source: RefSeq, a predicted model, not a curated record
UAUUUUUUUUUUCUCCUUCCUUACGCCACGCGAGCAUAACGCGCAUGGAUCUGCGGGACACCUGCUUCAAAUAGACGAGGGGCAGAUCUGUGUGUUUUCAAAACAUCGCGCACGAUGCGUAUUCCUGAUGGAUGCUCACGAGGACGGCGUGGAUAUGGCAGGACGAUAAACAAGACGACAAUAUAUCCCUGGGUGUGAAAUUCCAACGGCGUAAAGCUCGUUCAACACAGCCCUUUCCGAUGCACCAAGAGUCGUUUCUCACAACACGUCCCAGGCUUGGAAUCUGCAAAAGUAAAAGACACCGGGACAUGUAACAAUGAAGUUCCGUUUCAAGCACACCGUGCACCACCAGUAGCAGUUCGUCGACAUUGUAUAUACAGUAAGCCUUAGCAGCUACGCUUGUCCGUCUGACGUAAUGCCUAUAGGUCACAUCACAACUGUGCAUCAAAUACGACGUCCUUCCAUUAUUCGAGAACACAACGUUGGGCGAACAGCCAAGUGUAUCUGUUUGGAACAUGCACAAGCCGCGGGCGCAACAUAAUCGACAGAGAAUUGAGCAUGCGAGUCGGAUAAGCGCGCAGAUAUCGAACCGCAUUGCGUCCCGGGGGAUUUGCAUGAUCAGUUUUUCCUCGAGGAGGAUGAACUGUCACGGAGAAACAAUUAGGCUGAAGAACGGGUGUCAUCGCCCCUUUAAUCCCGGAGACGACGCAGUCUUAUCGCCGCUCAGAGUUCACUGCUCCGGCUAAGAAUAGAGGGCUCUGCGACACGGGUAGUAGUUUAAAUAUGACGAGCGCCCCCCGAUGUCAAUGCGUGUGAACAAUCGGGUAACAUACCACCGCGCAACGCUACUGGAAUUCUAAUGGCAGCGGUGACGUUGGAUUCCUUUAUCCCUGCGAGGCCCAAGAAAAAAAGAAAAACAAGAUACCGGCUCGGACGGUCGUUGUGACGUCGGUCGUUGAGCGCCUGACAAAGUGAGGGCAAAUAUCUUCGAUCGCAACUUUAAUGUUGCAUUUCUUUUUUGCCACCGCGUCGGAAUUGUGGCUGUUGGGGGGUAUACGAAUGUUCAGACAGAAAGGA